Molecule: ribosomal RNA, 450 nt
Filed under: uncultured bacterium
Lineage: Bacteria
Description: bacterial SSU rRNA
Rfam family: Bacterial small subunit ribosomal RNA
Source: RNAcentral
GUGGGGAAUAUUGGACAAUGGGCGAAAGCCUGAUCCAGCCAUGCCGCGUGUGUGAAUAAGGUCUUCGGAUUGUAAAGCACUUUAAGUUGGGAGGAAGGGUAGUAACCUAAUACGUUGCUACUUUGACGUUACCGACAGAAUAAGCACCGGCUAACUUCGUGCCAGCAGCCGCGGUAAUACGAAGGGUGCAAGCGUUAAUCGGAAUUACUGGGCGUAAAGCGCGCGUAGGUGGUUCAGUAAGUUGGAAGUGAAAUCCCCGGGCUCAACCUGGGAACUGCUUUCAAAACUGCUGAGCUAGAGUACGGUAGAGGGUAGUGGAAUUUCCUGUGUAGCGGUGAAAUGCGUAGAUAUAGGAAGGAACACCAGUGGCGAAGGCGACUACCUGGACUGAUACUGACACUGAGGUGCGAAAGCGUGGGGAGCAAACAGGAUUAGAUACCCCGGUAGUCC